GAUGAAGAACGUAGCGAAAUGCGAUACGUAAUGUGAAUUGCAGAAUUCAGUGAAUCAUCGAAUCUUUGAACGCAUAUUGCGCUCUCUGGUAUUCCGGAGAGCAUGCUUGUUUGAGUAUCAGUAAACACCUCAACUUCCAUAUCUUUUUUUGAAAUGGGAGUUGGACUUGAGUGAUCCCAACGCUUUUCCUCACCGAAAAGUGGCGGGUUACUUGAAAUGCAGGUGCAGCUGGACUUUUCUCUGAGCUAUAAGCAUAUCUAUUUAGUCUGCCUAAAAAACAGAUUAUUACCUUUGCUGCAGCUAACAUAAAGGAGAUUAGUUCUUGUGCUGACUGAUGCAGGAUUCACAAAGACAGCUUCGGCCGACUUUGUAAACUCGAUCUCAAAUCAAGUAAGACUACCCGCUGAACUUAAGCAUAUAAUAAGCGGAGGA
Molecule: unclassified non-coding RNA, 432 nt
Filed under: soil metagenome
Description: partial contains 5.8S ribosomal RNA, internal transcribed spacer 2, and large subunit ribosomal RNA
Rfam family: 5.8S ribosomal RNA (bases 1-120)
Source: RNAcentral